AAAAUAAGUGUUAUGUCCAAUAACCCAAAUCAUAAAUUUGCUUUCCGAGUAGCCCCUGUUAUAGGGGCUUUUUUUAUGUU
Molecule: non-coding RNA, 80 nt
Filed under: Glaesserella parasuis SH0165
Lineage: Bacteria; Pseudomonadati; Pseudomonadota; Gammaproteobacteria; Pasteurellales; Pasteurellaceae
Description: Haemophilus parasuis SH0165 Aggregatibacter sRNA 20
Rfam family: Aggregatibacter sRNA 20
About the family: Validated by RT-PCR and Northern blot.
Source: Rfam by way of RNAcentral